CACUGCCUGACCUUUUACGCGCACUCUCCAAAUUCUUUUCGCUCUUGGGCGUGAAGCUUGCUGGAUCUUAGUUCCUUGAUGAAGUAUUGAACCUGUGCCCUUGGCAGUGAAAGUGUGGAGUCCUAACCACUGAACCACCAGAGAAUUUACUGUAUGUCUUCUUAUUAAGGUCAAGAAGCAACAGUUAGAACUGGACAUGGAACAACAGACUGGUUCCAAAUCGGGAAAGGAGUACGUCAAGGCUGUAUAUUGUCACCCUGCUUAUUUAACUUAUAUGCAGAGUACAUCAUGAGAAAUGCCAGACUGGAUGAAGCACAAGCUAGAAUCAAGAUUGCCAGGUGAAACAUCAAGAACCUCAGAUAUGCAGAUGAUACCACACUUAUGGCUGAAAGCAAAGAACGAAGGAGCCUCUUGAUGAAAGUGAAAGAGGAUAGUGAAAAAAGUUGGCUUAAAACUCAACAUUCAGAAAACUAAGAUCAUGGCAUUCGGUCCUAUCACUUCAUGGCAAAUAGAUGAGGAAACAAAGGAAACAUUGACAGACUGUUUUUUUGGGGCUCCAAAAUCACUGCAGAUGGUGACUGCAGCCAUGAAAUUAAAAGAUGCUUGCUCCUUGAAAGAAA
Bos taurus (domestic cattle) is the source of this 620-nucleotide long non-coding RNA. The record is from Ensembl. Lineage: Eukaryota; Metazoa; Chordata; Mammalia; Artiodactyla; Bovidae.